RNAcentral lists this ribosomal RNA (487 nucleotides) under Leptalpheus azuero. Its description in RNAcentral is "partial large subunit ribosomal RNA". It matches the Rfam family "Bacterial large subunit ribosomal RNA", at positions 1827 to 2597 of the family's 2925-position model. Lineage: Eukaryota; Metazoa; Arthropoda; Malacostraca; Decapoda; Alpheidae. The record is from RNAcentral.
GUCUUCUUGGAAGAGUUGGGAAGUCUGACCUGCCCACUGAUUUAAAGGGCCGCGGUAUUAUGACCGUGCGAAGGUAGCAUAGUCAAUAGUCUCUUAAUUGGAGGCUGGAAUGAACGGUUGGACGGGAAGAGAGCUGUCUUGUGUAGCUAGGAAUGAACUUGACUUUUAUGUGAAAAGGCAUAAAUGUAUUGGGGGGACGAUAAGACCCUGUAAAACUUAAUGAUUUGGCUGGGUCUUUGAAUUUAAUAAGGGCUUGGGUAAAAUUAUUUUGCUGGGGAGGUAAGGAUAAAAUAACUGUUAUGAAAUGGAAAUAAAGAUAAUUAGGUGGUGACCCUUAAUUUAGGUUUAAGAGUUUAAGUUACUUCAGGGAUAACGCGUAAUUUCUCUUGAGAGUUCAUAUCGACAGAGAUAGUGCGACCUCGAUGUUGAAUUAAAACUUCUGUAGAGUAGAAGUUUAUGGGGCAGGUCUGUUCGACUUUAAAGUUUU